RNAcentral lists this ribosomal RNA (460 nucleotides) under uncultured bacterium. RNAcentral's name for it is "partial 16S ribosomal RNA". It matches the Rfam family "Bacterial small subunit ribosomal RNA", at positions 338 to 795 of the family's 1533-position model. The record is from RNAcentral.
CCUACGGGAGGCAGCAGUGAGGAAUAUUGGUCAAUGGACGAGAGUCUGAACCAGCCAAGUAGCGUGAAGGAUGACUGCCCUAUGGGUUGUAAACUUCUUUUAUAUGGGAAUAAAAUGUUCCACGUGUGGGAUUUUGUAUGUACCAUAUGAAUAAGGAUCGGCUAACUCCGUGCCAGCAGCCGCCGUAAUACGGAGGAUCCGAGCGUUAUCCGGAUUUAUUGGGUUUAAAGGGAGCGUAGAUGGAUUGUUAAGUCAGUUGUGAAAGUUUGCGGCUCAACCGUAAAAUUGCAGUUGAAACUGGCAGUCUUGAGUACAGUAGAGGUGGGCGGAAUUCGUGGUGUAGCGGUGAAAUGCUUAGAUAUCACGAAGAACUCCGAUUGCGAAGGCAGUUCACUGGACUGCAACUGACACUGAGGCUCGAAAGUGUGGGUAUCAAACAGGAUUAGAUACCCCAGUAGUC